GAGUUUGAUCCUGGCUCAGGAUGAACGCUAGCGGCAGGCCUAAUACAUGCAAGACGAACGGUAAGCUUUGUAGCAAUACGGAGCCUAGAGUGUCGUAAGGGUGCGUAACACGUAUGCAAUCUACCCUGUACAGGAGUAUAGCUCCCCGAAAGGGGAAUUAACCCUCCAUAACAUAGCGAGUCGGCAUCGACUUGCUAUUAAAACUGAGGUGGUACAGGAUGAGCAUGCGUCUGAUUAGCUAGUUGGUAGUGUAAUGGACUACCAAGGCAAUGAUCAGUAGGGGAACUGAGAGGUUGAUCCCCCACACUGGCACUGAGAUACGGGCCAGACUCCUACGGGAGGCAGCAGUAGGGAAUAUUGGACAAUGGGUGAGAGCCUGAUCCAGCCAUGCCGCGUGCAGGAAGAAGGCCUUCUGGGUUGUAAACUGCUUUUAUCUGGGGAUAAAAAGGCCUUGCGAGGCAAACUGAAGGUACCAGAUGAAUAAGCCACGGCUAACUACGUGCCAGCAGCCGCGGUAAUACGUAGGUGGCAAGCGUUGUCCGGAUUUAUUGGGUUUAAAGGGUGCGUAGGCGGUUUAUUAAGUCAGUGGUGAAAGACGAUAGCUUAACUAUCGAGGUGCCAUUGAUACUGAUGAACUUGAGUGCACACGAGGUAAGCGGAAUGGACGGUGUAGCGGUGAAAUGCAUAGAUAUCGUCCAGAACACCGAUAGUGAAGACAGCUUACCAGAGUGCAACUGACGCUGAGGCACGAAAGUGUGGGGAUCAAACAGGAUUAGAUACCCUGGUAGUCCACACUGUAA
This 800-nucleotide ribosomal RNA is filed under the name uncultured Bacteroidota bacterium. Its description in RNAcentral is "bacterial SSU rRNA". It matches the Rfam family "Bacterial small subunit ribosomal RNA", at positions 9 to 805 of the family's 1533-position model. Lineage: Bacteria; Pseudomonadati; Bacteroidota. The record is from RNAcentral.